This is a long non-coding RNA of Gossypium arboreum, 520 nucleotides long. RefSeq lists it as uncharacterized. The record is from RefSeq and is a predicted model, not a curated record. The transcript has 2 exons. Lineage: Eukaryota; Viridiplantae; Streptophyta; Magnoliopsida; Malvales; Malvaceae.
CCUGCAACAAAUGGAAAUCACAACAACAAAUGACAGAUAAUAUAACAGAAUAAUAGCAAACAAAUUAAGGGGGAAAAAGGGGAAAUUUGUAAAUCUUGAUUUUGGCUAUAUAAAGCCAAUUGUAUACUGUAAAUGGGGGAUUAUUAUUUUUUUCCACAGAAAUACAGACGCAUAUUGAAAGAGAAAUAAAAAUCGAAAAGGGACGGGAUUUUGAAAUCGAAGCAAAUAGUCUUCGAGGUUUAACCCUCCAUGGCUAUUCUGUGCAUCUUGAGUCACUGAUCAAAACGAAGCAAGAACAUGCAGAUAAGGGGGCUAUGGGAAUCAGCCAAAGGGAGAGGAGUGAAUUAGAGUGCUUCUGUCUUCUCUCUUUUGUUAGUAUUUUAGGUUUUUUUUUCCUUUUGAUUUUUAUGAAACAAACAGAAUGGCACCGUUUGAGAAAGGUAAAGGUUUGCGUGAAAACCUGAUUUAGAAGUUGGAUUUGUGCCUUUUUAUUUAAAUGGAUAAUUUGCAUGUUUGAUCC